RNAcentral lists this ribosomal RNA (305 nucleotides) under uncultured bacterium. RNAcentral describes it as "bacterial SSU rRNA". It matches the Rfam family "Bacterial small subunit ribosomal RNA", at positions 338 to 657 of the family's 1533-position model. The record is from RNAcentral.
CCUACGGGGGGCAGCAGUGGGGGAUAUUGGACAAUGGGGGGAACCCUGAUCCAGCGACGCCGCGUGAGUGAAGAAGUAUCUCGGUAUGUAAAGCUCUAUCAGCAGGGAAGAAAGAAAUGACGGUACCUGAGUAAGAAGCCCCGGCUAACUACGUGCCAGCAGCCGCGGUAAUACGUUGGGUGCGAGCGUUAAUCGGAAUUACUGGGCGUAAAGGGUGUGCAGGCGGCUGAGUAAGACAGAUGUGAAAUCCCCGGGCUUAACCUGGGAACCGCAUAUGUGACUGCUUGGCUAGAGUGCGUCAGAGG